UGGGGAAGCAGGGCCAUGGCCAAACAUAAAGGCAUUGAGUGUGUCUGACCAAAAAUACGAUGCAGCUAUCAGCAGUGACUCAUUCCUAUGCAUAUCGGCAAUAGACAGCCUGAUGCAUUGGUCCAGUUUUCUCUCACCCCAUCGGACUUCAUUUGAAUGGCUAACUCUCAAGAACCAAUCCUUCCAUCCCACGGUAGGACUGGGCCAGGAACGGAAGGUGUCCUUCCACAGAUCUAAAGAAAAAUUCUCGGCUCUAAAAGGGAUUAUGUUGGUUUCUGCGUUGAUAAGGUCGGUGGGAUCUGGAUUCCCUAACGGACCGAGGCAUUGGAGAUGUGGUUGAUCGGUAGGGAUGACGAUGUUAUUGGACAGAUCCUAAUGAUUUUGAAGGUAAAAGAAGAACAAAGAAAGAAAAAAAAAUGUUCAGUAAAAUAGAUUGCGGAUGAACAGGGAUGCGGGAAAACACACAAGGUGGAGUGAAGAACUAAGCUCAGGGACGAUGAAGUUGAUGGCCAUCUCUUCGCGAGGAGGAUGAUCGAAGGCUUCGGAGUUGGUGAAGAAGGGGCUUCGUUGAGACCUUGGAGUUCUCAAAUAGUGCCGCCGCCGGGAAAGUGAAGUUGGAGCUGUAGAAUGGUGUGAUGGGGAAGGAGUACCCGAGAAGGAACUAUUUAUAGGACAAAACGGGCAAGGGCAAAUCUGACUUAUCUCUUCGCUGUAUCCGUGAAAUCCGAUGGUAUUCAGGUAGAUAUGGUAAAUGUUCGCACGGUAAUCAAGGGAUUGCGCAGGUGAUUUGACAGGAAGUGGUCAUUAUCUAGAGAUAUUUCACUGUGCGGG
RNAcentral lists this long non-coding RNA (831 nucleotides) under Sorghum bicolor (sorghum). Its description in RNAcentral is "long non-coding RNA (SBIC_LNC001203)". Lineage: Eukaryota; Viridiplantae; Streptophyta; Magnoliopsida; Poales; Poaceae. The record is from RNAcentral.